RNAcentral lists this ribosomal RNA (92 nucleotides) under Panthera tigris altaica (Amur tiger). The record is from RNAcentral. Lineage: Eukaryota; Metazoa; Chordata; Mammalia; Carnivora; Felidae.
GUCUACGGCCAUACCACCCUGAACGCGCCCGAUCUCGUCUGAUCUCAGAAGCUAAGCAGGGUCGGGCCCGGUUAGUACUUGGAUGGAAGACC